CCUGGCGGCCUUAGCGCGGUGGUCCCACCUGACCCCAUGCCGAACUCAGAAGUGAAACGCCGUAGCGCCGAUGGUAGUGUGGGGGUUCCCCAUGCGAGAGUAGGGAACUGCCAGGC
Molecule: ribosomal RNA, 116 nt
Filed under: Escherichia coli
Lineage: Bacteria; Pseudomonadati; Pseudomonadota; Gammaproteobacteria; Enterobacterales; Enterobacteriaceae
Source: RNAcentral